AAUGAACCUAGCGGCGGACGGGUGAGUAACACGUGGGCAACCUGCCCUAAGGAGCGGGAUAACACCAGGAAACUGGUGCUGAUACCGCAUAACGAGUCUUCAACGCAUGUUGGAGCCUUCAAAGAUUUAUCGCUUUAGGAUGGGCCCGCGUCCCAUUAGCUAGUUGGUGAGGUAACGGCUCACCAAGGCGACGAUGGGUAGCCGGCCUGAGAGGGUGUACGGCCACACUGGGACUGAGACACGGCCCAGACUCCUACGGGAGGCAGCAGUAGGGAAUAUUGCGCAAUGGACGGAAGUCUGACGCAGCGACGCCGCGUGAGCGAUGAAGGCCUUCGGGUCGUAAAGCUCUGUCCUUGGGGAAGAAGGUCUUCGGACUUGACGGUACCCAAGAAGAAAGCCCCGGCUAACUACGUGCCAGCAGCCGCGGUAAUACGUAGGGGGCGAGCGUUGUCCGGAAUUACUGGGCGUAAAGGGUGCGUAGGCGGCCCUUUAAGUCAGAUGUGAAAGGCCACGGCUUAACCGUGGGAUUGCAUUUGAAACUGGAGGGCUUGAGUGUCGGAGAGGGUAGUGGAAUUCCCAGUGUAGCGGUGAAAUGCGUAGAUAUUGGGAGGAACACCAGUGGCGAAGGCGACUACCUGGACGAUAACUGACGCUGAGGCACGAAAKUUAGGGGUUCAAACAGGAUUAGAUACCCUGGUAGUCCUAGCCGUAAA
RNAcentral lists this ribosomal RNA (713 nucleotides) under uncultured Clostridia bacterium. RNAcentral's name for it is "bacterial SSU rRNA". It matches the Rfam family "Bacterial small subunit ribosomal RNA", at positions 85 to 806 of the family's 1533-position model. Lineage: Bacteria; Bacillati; Bacillota; Clostridia. The record is from RNAcentral.